AAUGGGUGAUGGCGUGCCUUUUGUAGAAUGAACCGGCGAGUUACGAUUUGAUGCAAGGUUAAGCAGUAAAUGUGGAGCCGUAGCGAAAGCGAGUCUGAAUAGGGCGUUUAGUAUUUGGUCGUAGACCCGAAACCAGGUGAUCUACCCUUGGUCAGGUUGAAGUUCAGGUAACACUGAAUGGAGGACCGAACCGACUUACGUUGAAAAGUGAGCGGAUGAACUGAGGGUAGCGGAGAAAUUCCAAUCGAACCUGGAGAUAGCUGGUUCUCUCCGAAAUAGCUUUAGGGCUAGCCUCAAGUGAUGAUUAUUGGAGGUAGAGCACUGUUUGGACGAGGG
Molecule: ribosomal RNA, 336 nt
Filed under: Staphylococcus aureus
Lineage: Bacteria; Bacillati; Bacillota; Bacilli; Caryophanales; Staphylococcaceae
Description: partial 23S ribosomal RNA
Rfam family: Bacterial large subunit ribosomal RNA
Source: RNAcentral